CCAAAACGAGGUAUUAGGGACUAUGCUAAAAAAAAAUUCCCCUAAAAACGUAUCAGCCCAUAGCAGAUCGCUAAAAAUUACCCCCAAUAAUUCAAAACAGACCACGUCAUCGUAUUGGACUCAUUAGGAUCCGUGCUUUUUUUCCCUCUACCGUGACCAGAAGUCCCUCGCCAGCGUCGAGUUCCAGAUCUGCCUUGUGUUGUUGGACUCGAUCGAGGACGAGUCCAUCUAUCUUCCCCUUUAUCUUCCUCUACUUCUUGUCUACCGAAGCAUCUCCAUCGAUGUGCACAGAAAUUCCUCCACUGCGUAUAGCAAUUCCUCCGCUUCGAGCUCCAGGUCGACGCGAAUCCUCUUCUUGCCUGCAAGCUCGCCGCCGCUACCUUGCCUGCAAUUUUCCUUCCAUAGCAUGCAAUGCAAUGAUUCCAUUACGCAUCCACGGCUCAAUCGAUCUGACCUUGAGGCAUCCAAUUUAUGCUCAGC
RNAcentral lists this long non-coding RNA (480 nucleotides) under Setaria italica (foxtail millet). RNAcentral's name for it is "long non-coding RNA (SITA_LNC002571)". Lineage: Eukaryota; Viridiplantae; Streptophyta; Magnoliopsida; Poales; Poaceae. The record is from RNAcentral.